GCAGCUGAUCAGCCAUGCCGCGUGUGUGAUGAAGGCCUUCGGGUUGUAAAGCUCUUUCGUGAGGAAGAUAGCCUUGGGGUUAAUACCCUCAACGGAGGACAUCUCUCACAGAACAAGCACCGGCUUCUCCGUGCCAGCAGCCGCGGUAAU
RNAcentral lists this ribosomal RNA (150 nucleotides) under Alteromonas sp. Its description in RNAcentral is "partial 16S ribosomal RNA". It matches the Rfam family "Bacterial small subunit ribosomal RNA", at positions 379 to 524 of the family's 1533-position model. Lineage: Bacteria; Pseudomonadati; Pseudomonadota; Gammaproteobacteria; Alteromonadales; Alteromonadaceae. The record is from RNAcentral.